AGUUGUGCCCACGCACCCAACUGUUCCAGUAACAUAAAAGCAACAGCAGUUGGAGAUACUUAAGGCAGCCAUGGUAUUGACAGAAAAAGACUCUGGAUUUGGAUUGCAGCUGUAGCAUUUAUUAAAUGCACGUCACAACCUCUCUGAGCUUCGUUUUCCCCACGUUUCAAAUGGGAUGCAGUGGACCCUGUUGCCUACCCGAGAACAACUUCAAAGCAACUUUGAGAGCCUUGUAUGGAAGAUGGCAACUUUGAGAGCCUUGUGUUGAAGAUGGCAAAGCCACAAGAUGGAAAGUGCUUGGGUUCUUGGAUCAUUGUAUGGAGGGGUUCUGCCCAACUAGGAUCACCCAGGCUGGAUUGUCAUCACACUUGAUUUCCUAGAAGUCUCGGACAAACUUUGGCAUGCAGACAGCUUUCCACUUCAAGAGUUUGCCCUUCACUUCUGACAUCACUCUCCAGAAUCAUGAGCACAACCCAGAAAUGUGGGUAAGCUGAUGCCCAAGGGGAAAUCUUGAAUGAAUGGGGAAUAGGAGUUGGUGCGCAAAUGCCCCAGCCUUCCCAUCCUCCAGGGAAGCUGACUCAGAGGUGUGAUCCACAUGUUGUUUCACCUGGCUCCACACAGCAUUGAAUGUUAAUUGCCUUCAGCAUAACCAGCUCAUUAACACACAUUUAUUACCUUUCCUCCCCUCUAUCACUCUCCUUGUUCCCUUACUUGCAGUUCUUGAGACCACCUUGCAAAUAAAUGACCUAUACCCAAUCUUCAUCUCAGCAUCUGUUUUGAGGGAAUUCAAACUAAGACAGGAGCCCAGAGAAGCUAAAGGAUUUCUGUUCCUUUUCCCUGGGGAGGCUACUCUUCCCACUAAAUGAACUUCUUUUCUGAAGAUCCACUGAACUGGCAGAGUCCAUUCAAUGAGACAUCUUGAGCCUCAGCCCCUGAAGCUCCACGCCAAGGCUCUCAACAUGAUUCUAUUCCAUGUGCAUUCAUUCUGUUGAAUAAACCACAGUUCAGCUUUGUUCAGUAA
Molecule: long non-coding RNA, 1021 nt
Filed under: Homo sapiens (human)
Lineage: Eukaryota; Metazoa; Chordata; Mammalia; Primates; Hominidae
Description: HSALNT0281572
Source: RNAcentral